AUGCAGAGAUAUGACUUAGUCUGUGGUUGUAUAUGCAUGCGGUGUCACAGUAAUAUAGGUUAUGAUGACCGUAAAAUUAACAAGUUGACUGACUCUUGUGCACCAUGUGGCUGUCUACUCUGUUCUGGAAACAGAAUCCGUUUGGGAGCCGCCGCUGAAGGCAGGGCCCCUUGCUCGGACAGGGUGACAACAUUGGAGAAGACUGUGAGGGAAUUUGCCGAGCAUCCAGGGGACAUAGUGAUGAUCAAGCCAAAAAUCAGAACAACCUUCGACAGUCUGGGUGAAGCUUAUGACUUUUACAAUUUGUAUUCAUGGGAGAAAGGAUUUGCAAUUAGAUACGGGAAGAGCAGACUAAAUGUGAACAGGACAAAAUGCAUCCAAGAGAUCGUGUGUGGAUGCGCGGGGAAGCCGGUAGUUGAAAAUACUCGUUCUUGUCGCUGUGAAUGUCCGGCACUAGUGAGAUUACUGCGGUCCAAGGACAAUGGGUGGUACAUAGCUGAGCAUCGAGAUGGGCACAACCAUUCUCUGUCGCAGACUUACGGCCAAACAAUACACUGGCCGUCACAUAAGCAUAUCGAUGUGUACAGCAUGGACCUAGUGAAGCAGCUGCGGCAAAACAAUGUUAACCUAGCAAAGGUGUAUGGCAUUAUCGGGAGCUUCUUCGGUAAGAUGGAGAAUGUACCAUUCACGGAAAGAGCACUGAGAACUUUGUGUGGCAAGAUAAGCCGUGAGCAGUCCGAAGAUGAUGUGAGGAAGACAAUGGAAGUUUUCCAGGAGCUGUGUUCAAAGGAUCAACAAUUUACAUAUCGGGUACAAGCUGACAAUGAGGGCAGAAUAAGCAACCUAAUGUGGGCUACGGGAAAUAGCAGGCUGCAGUACAAUUUCUUUGGUGAUGUAGUUACAUUCGACACAACCUACCGUACCAAUCUGUACGACAUUCCCUUUGGUUUAUUUGUUGGGGUUAACAACCAUUUCUAG
This 978-nucleotide ribosomal RNA is filed under the name Triticum aestivum (bread wheat). RNAcentral describes it as "partial small subunit ribosomal RNA". The record is from RNAcentral. Lineage: Eukaryota; Viridiplantae; Streptophyta; Magnoliopsida; Poales; Poaceae.